RNAcentral lists this ribosomal RNA (1250 nucleotides) under metagenome. RNAcentral's name for it is "bacterial SSU rRNA". It matches the Rfam family "Bacterial small subunit ribosomal RNA", at positions 260 to 1498 of the family's 1533-position model. The record is from RNAcentral.
AUGGCCUACCAAGACUACGAUGGUUAGCGGGUCUGAGAGGAUGAUCCGUCACACUGGCACUGAAACACGGGCCAGACUCCUACGGGAGGCAGCAGUGAGGAAUAUUGCGCAAUGGGGGGAACCCUGACGCAGCGACGCCGCGUGGGUGAGGAAGGCUUUCGGGUCGUAAAACCCUGUCAGAAGGGAAGAAGUGCUUGCAAGUUAAUACCUUGUAAGUUUGACGGUACCUUCAAAGGAAGCACCGGCUAACUCCGUGCCAGCAGCCGCGGUAAUACGGAGGGUGCAAGCGUUGUUCGGAAUCACUGGGCGUAAAGGGCGCGUAGGCGGCUUGGCAAGUCAGAUGUGAAAGCCCACGGCUUAACCGUGGAAGUGCAUUUGAAACUGCUUGGCUUGAGUAUCAGAGGGGAAAGUGGAAUUCCCGGUGUAGAGGUGAAAUUCGUAGAUAUCGGGAGGAAUACCGGUGGCGAAGGCGACUUUCUGGCUGAAUACUGACGCUGAGGCGCGAAAGCGUGGGGAGCAAACAGGAUUAGAUACCCUGGUAGUCCACGCCGUAAACGAUGUCAACUAGGUGCAGGGGGUGUUGAUCCCCUCUGUGUCGCAGCUAACGCAUUAAGUUGACCGCCUGGGGAGUACGGUCGCAAGAUUAAAACUCAAAGGAAAUGACGGGGGCCCGCACAAGCGGUGGAGUAUGUGGUUUAAUUCGAUGCAACGCGAAGAACCUUACCUGGUCUUGACAUCCCGAAAAAGCCCUAGAAAUAGGGAAGUGCUCUCUUUGAGAGAAUUUGGUGACAGGUGCUGCAUGGCUGUCGUCAGCUCGUGUCGUGAGAUGUUGGGUUAAGUCCCGCAACGAGCGCAACCCUCGCCAUUAGUUGCCAGCAUUAAGUUGGGCACUCUAAUGGGACUGCCGGUGUCAAACCGGAGGAAGGCGGGGAUGACGUCAAGUCCUCAUGGCCUUUAUGACCAGGGCUACACACGUACUACAAUGGCCGGUACAACGGGCUGCCACUUCGCGAGAAGGCGCAAAUCCCUAAAGCCGGUCUCAGUCCGGAUUGGAGUCUGCAACUCGACUCCAUGAAGUUGGAAUCGCUAGUAAUCGUGGAUCAGCAUGCCACGGUGAAUACGUUCCCGGGCCUUGUACACACCGCCCGUCACACCACGGGAGUUGGUUGUACCAGAAGCGGUUGAGCUAACCUUCGGGAGGCAGGCUGCCAAGGUAUGGCUGGUAACUGGGGUGAAGUCGUAACAAGGUA